This 337-nucleotide unclassified non-coding RNA is filed under the name soil metagenome. RNAcentral describes it as "partial contains 5.8S ribosomal RNA, internal transcribed spacer 2, and large subunit ribosomal RNA". The stretch from base 1 to 120 matches the Rfam family "5.8S ribosomal RNA", at positions 35 to 154 of the family's 154-position model. The record is from RNAcentral.
GAUGAAGAACGUAGCGAAAUGCGAUAAGUAGGGUGAAUUGCAGAAUUCAGUGAAACAUCGAAUCUUUGAACGCACAUUGCGCCCCUUGGUAUUCCAUGGGGCAUGCCUGUUCGAGCGUCAUUUGUACCUUCAAGCUUUGCUUGGUGUUGGGUGUUUGUCUCGCCUCCGCGUGUAGACUCGCCUCAAAACAAUUGGCAGCCGGCGUAUUGAUUUCGGAGCGCAGUACAUCUCGCGCUUUGCACUCACAACGACGACGUCCAAAAGUACAUUUUUACACUCUUGACCUCGGAUCAGGUAGGGAUACCCGCUGAACUUAAGCAUAUCAAUAAGCGGAGGA